UACGUAGGGUCCGAGCGUUGUCCGGAAUUAUUGGGCGUAAAGGGCUCGUAGGCGGUCUGUUGCGUCGGGAGUGAAAACUUACAGCUUAACUGUGAGCGUGCUUCCGAUACGGGCAGGCUAGAGUUCGGUAGGGGAGACUGGAAUUCCUGGUGUAGCGGUGAAAUGCGCAGAUAUCAGGAGGAACACCGGUGGCGAAGGCGGGUCUCUGGGCCGAUACUGACGCUGAGGAGCGAAAGCGUGGGGAGCGAACAGG
This 253-nucleotide ribosomal RNA is filed under the name uncultured bacterium. RNAcentral describes it as "partial 16S ribosomal RNA". It matches the Rfam family "Bacterial small subunit ribosomal RNA", at positions 524 to 776 of the family's 1533-position model. The record is from RNAcentral.